Molecule: transfer RNA, 72 nt
Filed under: Ictidomys tridecemlineatus (thirteen-lined ground squirrel)
Lineage: Eukaryota; Metazoa; Chordata; Mammalia; Rodentia; Sciuridae
Description: Spermophilus tridecemlineatus (thirteen-lined ground squirrel) tRNA
Rfam family: tRNA
About the family: Transfer RNA (tRNA) molecules are approximately 80 nucleotides in length.
Source: Rfam by way of RNAcentral
UGAGUUGUGGCUCAAUGGUAGAGCACUUGCCUGGCAUGCAUGAGGCCCUGGGUUCAAUCCUCAGCACCGCAU